Molecule: unclassified non-coding RNA, 344 nt
Filed under: soil metagenome
Description: partial contains 5.8S ribosomal RNA, internal transcribed spacer 2, and large subunit ribosomal RNA
Rfam family: 5.8S ribosomal RNA (bases 1-120)
Source: RNAcentral
GAUGAAGAACGUAGCGAAAUGCGAUAAGUAAUGUGAAUUGCAGAAUUCAGUGAAUCAUCGAGUCUUUGAACGCACAUUGCGCCCCCUGGUAUUCCGGGGGGCAUGCCUGUCCGAGCGUCAUUGCUGCCCUCAAGCACGGCUUGUGUGUUGGGCCUCCGUCCUCCUCCCGGGGGACGGGCCCGAAAGGCAGCGGCGGCACCGCGUCCGGUCCUCGAGCGUAUGGGGCUUCGUCACCCGCUCUUGUAGGCCCGGCCGGCGCUUGCCGACACAUCAAUCUUUUUUCCAGGUUGACCUCGGAUCAGGUAGGGAUACCCGCUGAACUUAAGCAUAUCAAAAGCGGAGGA